CUGCUCGCUCGGUCACUUGCUCCAUCAAUUUGCGGCCACGAAGAGACAAAGAAAGCGUUGCUCUGUUUGUUGCUAGGUGGAAUGGAAAAGAUUCUGAACAAUGGUUCUCGUUUGAGGGGAGAUAUCAAUGUUCUUCUCAUCGGAGAUCCAUCUGUUGCCAAGUCUCAACUGCUUCGAUAUGUUCUUCGUAUGGCCCCAAGAGCUAUCACCACAACUGGACGUGGAUCUUCGGGUGUUGGACUUACUGCUGCUGUUACUACUGAUCCUGAUUCGGGAGAACGUCGUCUUGAAGCUGGAGCAAUGGUUCUCGCCGAUCGUGGUGUCGUUUGUAUUGAUGAAUUUGACAAGAUGUCUGAUAUUGAUAGAACUGCAAUCCACGAAGUUAUGGAACAGGGACGUGUCACAAUUUCGAAGGCUGGAAUCCACGCGAAGCUGAAUGCUCGUUGCUCGGUUCUGGCUGCAGCAAAUCCGGUG
RNAcentral lists this small RNA (474 nucleotides) under Caenorhabditis elegans. Its description in RNAcentral is "Unclassified non-coding RNA C25D7.20". Lineage: Eukaryota; Metazoa; Nematoda; Chromadorea; Rhabditida; Rhabditidae. The record is from RNAcentral.